CCCGGGCCUUGUACACACCGCCCGUCACACCACGAAAGCAGGUAACACCGAAGUCGGUGAGCUAACCCUUACGGGAGGCAGCCGCCGAAGGUGGGACUUGUGAUUGGGGUG
Molecule: ribosomal RNA, 111 nt
Filed under: uncultured bacterium
Lineage: Bacteria
Description: partial 16S ribosomal RNA
Rfam family: Bacterial small subunit ribosomal RNA
Source: RNAcentral